Long non-coding RNA from Uloborus diversus, 484 nucleotides. RefSeq lists it as uncharacterized. The record is from RefSeq and is a predicted model, not a curated record. Lineage: Eukaryota; Metazoa; Arthropoda; Arachnida; Araneae; Uloboridae. The transcript has 3 exons.
UAAGGAAAAAGUACUGAAUCGGCCGUGCCGUUGAUUCUCCGCUGUUCUAGUUUUAUUUUACAUCUCAACUCUUCCACGAACAACAGUUUGGCCUGUUUUUGACUUUGAAUGACUUUAUAAAUUGUUCUUAAUUUUUGUUAGAAAAUAUAGCAUUGAUAUGGCUGGUGGCAGUGAAGUUAGUGAUGCCCAAUUCAAAGGAUGGCAGAAGCACUUCAAUACCUAUACCAUUCGUGGAAGAUCUAAUAUAACAUUUGCUACCUACUCGGCUUUAGCACUCUAUGGAAUUUACAGGUUUUUAAAACCAAAGAAGAAAUCUGCUUAAUAAAAAGCAAACAAUUAUUCAUUAAUGAAGAGAUAUUCAUAGAAAAUGUUGUCUUCUGUGGUGUAAUAGAAUAAAAAACACUUGUUUGAGAUCGUUUUUUCAGAAUGUAAUUGUAAACACUUUUGUUUUGUUGAAAUUAUUAAAAGCUUACUUAUUUGGUAA